Molecule: long non-coding RNA, 1421 nt
Filed under: Salmo salar (Atlantic salmon)
Lineage: Eukaryota; Metazoa; Chordata; Actinopteri; Salmoniformes; Salmonidae
Description: lncRNA (ENSSSAG00000087412.1)
Source: RNAcentral
CUAAAUAUAAACUAUAAAAUAUAAAUGCAAGUUUCAAGGAUUUUAGAUGAGUUGAGGUAAUCAGUCAAUUGAAAUAAAUUAUUUAGGCCCUAAUCUAUGGAUUAGGGCCCACCCACUUGGAUUUAGGCCUACCCACUUGGGAACCAGGCCCAGCCAAUAAGAAUUAGUUUUUCCCUCCCAAAAAGGGCUUUAUUACAGACAGAAAUACUCGACAGUUUCAUCAGCUGCCCGGUUGGCUGGUCUCAGAUGAUCCCGCAGGUGAAGAAGCCGGAAGUCGAGGUCUUGGGUUGGUGUGGUUACAUGUGGUCUGCGGUUAUGAAUCCGGUUGGACAUACUUCCAAAUUCUCGAGACCCGUAAUCAUCCACAAUGGCAAAACAACAAGGCACAGGUACUCACACAACCAACGGACAUUGUAACAAUAAUCGACAGGACAAUGGGGAACAAAGGGCACACGUAUACAAUUACUAAUCAAAUGGGAAUAGGGACCAUGUGUGCGUAAUGACAGUUCCGGAGGGAUCCGUGACAGCUACAUGUUUUAAAGUGGCCUUUUAUUGUCCCCAGCACAAGGUACACCUGUGUAAUGAUCAUGCUGUUUAAUUACUUUCUUGAUAUGCCACACCUGUCAGGUGGAUAGAUUAUCUCGGCAAAGGAGAAAUGCUCACUAACAGGGAUGUAAACACAUUUGUGCACAAAAUACGUUUUUUGUACGUAUGUAACAUUUCUGGGACACUUUACAUGUUGCGUUUAUAUUUUUGUUCAGUAUAGAAAGAAAAUAGAAAAAUAACAUUUGCGAGACAAGGUGAAGAAAGGAGAGAUGAGAUGAGGGAAGGAGAGAUAAGGAGAGAUAAGGUGAGGGAAGGAGAGAUAAGGUGAGGGAAGGAGAGAAGGGGAGAUAAGGGGAGAUAAGGGGAGAAAAGGUGAGGGAAGGAGAGAUAAGGAAAGGGAAGGAACUCUACACCUACCCCACUGGGCACGCACGGGUUUAAUAAACAUUGGUUCAACGUCAUUUGUCAACCUAUUUUGAUGUGGAAUCAACGUGGACAACACAUUUGGAUUCACAAAAAGUAAUCAACCAGCAUUGUAACCAUUGACAUUUGGGUAAAAUUUCAACUAAAAUAGAAUGACUUCUUAAACAGAUCAGAGACCAGGCUACAAUCUUGCAUCUUUAGAGCAAAGAGCUUCUUCAAAAAGAAACUCAACAUUGCUCUUAUGGUCUUAGCUGAAACAGACAACAAAAGGACAACCGUUGGAAGAACUAGGAACAAUCUACUCCUACUGUAAUUUGUAACUCUAUGCAUUCUGUGUGUUCAACUCCUCCGUGAAAGAACCAAUAGAGAUGAUGUAAACUAAAGAAAGCAUUGUUCAACUUUUUUCUCCUCUGUAGUCAACUGUAAAUAAAUUCAAUAAAAUAGUUUUUUUU